UUUUUUUUUUUUUUUUUAAUUUUCUAAACAUUAAACCUGUUCAUUUGUUCUUUUCACCCUUCUCUCUUUGUGUUCUUUGAUUGUUCCUUCGAUUUUUACUCUUCGAUUGUGUUUUCGAUUUUACUCUUCGAUUGUGCUCUUCGAUUUUACUCUUUGAAUUAAAUCUGUUUUCGAUUUUUAGGGUUUGUGAACCAAAAAUCGAAAGAUCCAUCAACAAUAUUAACAAAUGAAGAAUCAAAAAGAUCCAUCAACAAUGAACAAGAAUGCUCAAAUUCAUCUUUACAAUUGGCUGAAUUAGAAGGAAGUUCAAUUGAUGAGCUUUAAGUAGAUUGUCGGUGUAAUUUGUUCAAACGUAUAGGCCUGUUAUGUUGUCAUGCGAUUUGUGUUAUGAGUGCAAGGCAAAUAACACAAAUCCCAAAGCAAUAUAUCUUGGAUCGUUGGACAAAACUAGCUAUGAAGAAGCCUAUUUUUGAUAUGCAUGACAAUUUGAUUGAAGACCAUAAAAAUUUGGACAACACGGGAAAGUUGUUGGGGGAAGUUUGGUCGAAAAUAUUCCAUUGUGUUGGUUUAGUUGAAGGAAGUGAAAGUGAAUUACAAUCACUUCUAAAAAUCCUCAAGAAUUUUAGUAGAAAAUUGGAGGAAAGUGAUGAUGUAAGGUUGGAAAUUACGAAAGAACAACAAAUAGAAUUUUUGUUACGGCCAAAUUCAUCGCCAACAAUGGAAAUCCAUCGCCCAAUACAAUCAAAAAAUAAGGGAAAGAGGCAGAGGAUAGUUAGUGAAAAGGAAAAAAAUAUCAAGCAAAGUAAAAAGAACAAACGAAAGUGUAAAACUUGAGAGGAAUUUGAUUACCAUGAUAGUCGUAAUUGCCCAACAAGAAGAACAUCUUUGUAAAUAAGGUUGCUUUUGAUUACAAUGAUAGUCGUAAUUGCCCAACAAGAAGAACAAGUUGCUUUGGGUUGCUUGCUUUUGCUGUUUACAAGUUGCUGCUUUACAUGUUGAUUUAAAGUUGCUGUUUUGUUGCUAUUUCGCAUUUACAUGUAUUAUAUUAUGUUGUCAUGCACACAAAGUACGUUAUGGUGGAAAGAUUAAGAACAUAAUGAUCUUAAUCAAUUAUUAGCACGGAAUAGAACUUAAACUGCUUUGCUUGGAUUAUGCCCAUUUUAUGUUAUGUAUUUCAUCUUAUUUUAUGUCCAUUUUUAUAUUCAUAUUUAUGAAGAAAGCAUUUUAUGUUAUGUAUUUCAUCAUAAAUUCAUUUUUAUAUGAAUAUUUAUGAUAAAAGAAAGCAUCACAUUACUAUGAAGAAAGUAUCACAUAUUUAAAAAGAAAGCGUCACAUUUGUUUUGGUAAUAAAAAAAAGAGAUAGCCUGAAGAAAGCAUCACAUAUUUAUUAAGCAAGCAUCACAUAUUUAUGAAGAAAGCAUCACAAUUUGAUUUGGUCAUUAAAGAGAUAGCCUGGAGAAAGCAUCACAUAUUUAUUAAAAAAGAAUCACAUAUUUAUAAGGAAGGCAUCACAUCAUAUGUUUAUGAAGAAAGCAUCACAUAUUUGGUCAUUAAAGUGAUACUGUACUUGCAUGUUUGAUUCAUAAUAAAAACUGAAGUACUAAUAUCAUACUGCUCGAUAAAAUACUUGGCCAUACCUUGAUAACUCUUCUUAAUAUUCAACAUAAGCAGACCAUCAAAGCCAAUAUCUUUCAAAUCAGUCCUUUGUUUAUCUUUCGAAUUCUCACACAACGAAACCAUUUGAGAAGGAGAUGAAAGCAUAUGAAGUUGACCUUUUCUUCUGUAACCCAUGAAAGAAUCACAUGUUUAUGAAGAAAGUAUCACAAUAUGAACAAGAAAACAUCACAUAUUAAUCAAGGAAGCAUCACAGUUCAGUAAGGGUUCACUGAGUUCAGAAAUUAGUAGCACAGAAAGCAUCACAUUUGAUCAGAAUCACAUGUUAUAUCAGAAUCACAUGCAUCACACUUGAUCAGAAUCACUUGUUCGAUCAGAAUCAUAUUUUAUUUAAUCAAACAUUAGGAAAAAAGCAUCAUAUCAUAUGUUUAUUAAAAGUAAUUAGUUUAUCCAGCUAAAACUUACUUUU
Long non-coding RNA from Amaranthus tricolor (Joseph's coat), 2083 nucleotides. RefSeq lists it as uncharacterized. NCBI's taxonomy places the organism in Eukaryota, Viridiplantae, Streptophyta, Magnoliopsida, Caryophyllales, Amaranthaceae. The transcript has 4 exons. The record is from RefSeq and is a predicted model, not a curated record.